ACUCAACCUGCUUCGUAGGGCGGGUCUUGGCGUGGCCAUAAUAGGAUUUGUAAAUUUGCUUCCUGGAUGGGAGAGAAACGUGCUCUGGUUUAUUGGCAUUUCUCUAAACCAAUCACAAUCCUCUUUGGCGGUGCUACGCUCCGAACGGAGCCACGGUGCCUCUGCUAAAU
Sander lucioperca (pikeperch) is the source of this 170-nucleotide long non-coding RNA. RefSeq lists it as uncharacterized. The record is from RefSeq and is a predicted model, not a curated record. The transcript is spliced from 3 exons. NCBI's taxonomy places the organism in Eukaryota, Metazoa, Chordata, Actinopteri, Perciformes, Percidae.